CUUGCGGCCAUAUCACGUUGAAACACCGGUUCUCGUACGAUCACCGAAGUUAAGCAACGUCGUGUCUAAUCAGCAGCUAGAUUGGUGACCAUUGUGAAUAUUAGGUGCU
Non-coding RNA from Acanthosepion pharaonis, 109 nucleotides. Lineage: Eukaryota; Metazoa; Mollusca; Cephalopoda; Sepiida; Sepiidae. The record is from the annotation of a GenBank genome assembly.